Non-coding RNA from Acanthosepion pharaonis, 99 nucleotides. Lineage: Eukaryota; Metazoa; Mollusca; Cephalopoda; Sepiida; Sepiidae. The record is from the annotation of a GenBank genome assembly.
CAUUGAAACACCCGUUCUCAUACGAUCAUUGAAGUUAAGCUAUGUCGAGUUUGGUCAGUAUCUAGAUGGGUUACCGCUUGGAAAUACUAGUUGCUGUGA